CAGGAACUCAGUGCCUAAGAAGCAAAAUCUUCUUGUAGAAAUGGCAGUGGGUGGCCACUGUCCACCAUGAAAGAACCUUACUCUGCUGGAAAGGCUCAACCCAUUCUAGUUAUGUCAAACUCAACCUGCUCUUCCUCCUCCUCUAGCAAGCUUGAAGAAACAAGCCCUGGAAAAACAAAGAAUGGAACACCCCUCCGCUGACUUCAACCAACUGCCUGCUGAUGCGGCCUGACUCCCAGCCCUUUUUGCAGUUUUGAAGUGACAAACUGACUAGGCUACAAAGUAUUCAACCAUGGGCUGGUUCUGGCUGGUUCACCGAGGCUGUGUACAAAGUGUCUUCAUGUCCUGUGUUUCACCUUUUAACAUACAGAACCUAAUUUUACUGCAUUUUAAUGUUAAUUCUCCACUCGAAGGUGAACAUGGGAUGUAUGUAACACAUAUGUUUGCUUAUCAAGCACACAUAUGACCCCCUUUCAUGAAUAUUCAUAGUUCCCCCUGUGACCUGUUGAAUAUGUCUGUUUAGCCAACCUGUUUGGCAUAAAACUCCUAUCCCACCCUAUCUCCCUCAAAGUACCUGUUUGUGGUCUCAGCUGGAGGUGCCACUUCCCAGCCUGCAGUUUGCAACCCUUCUCAAGAAAUAAAGUCUUCCUUUCCAAGUUUACGGGUCUCAUAUUUUUAGUUGACACCCCCAAGUUGGUGCUUCACAUGGAGAGGAUAG
This 718-nucleotide long non-coding RNA is filed under the name Homo sapiens (human). Its description in RNAcentral is "non-protein coding lnc-ZNF599-3:3". Lineage: Eukaryota; Metazoa; Chordata; Mammalia; Primates; Hominidae. The record is from RNAcentral.